GACGAACGCUGGCGGCGUGCUUAACACAUGCAAGUCGAACGGAAAGGCCCUGAGGGUGUGGGGUGCUCGAGUGGCGAAAGGGUGAGUAAGACGUGAGUAACGUGCUCUUGACUUUGGGGUAAGUUCAGGAAACGGGGGCUAAUACAGGAUAGGAGCUCAUGCUGCAUGGUGGGGGUGGGAAAGUUGCGGCGGUCGGGGAUGGAUUGGCGGGUGUUGAGCUUGUUGGGGGGGUAGUGGCUUACCAAGGCGGUGAUCGGUAGCCGGCCUGAGUGGGUGAUUGGCCACAUUGGAACUGAGACAGCGUCCAGACUCCUACGGGAGGCAGCAGUCGGGAAUAUUAGGCAAUGGUCGCAAGCCUGAUCCAGCCAUACGGCGUCGGUGACGAAGACGCUCGGUUUGGAAAGCCCUUUUGCUGGGAGAGAACCGCAGCCGGUUAAUACGCCGCGGUACUGACGGUACCCAGAGAAUAAGCACCGGCUAACUUCGUG
This 488-nucleotide ribosomal RNA is filed under the name uncultured bacterium. RNAcentral describes it as "partial 16S ribosomal RNA". It matches the Rfam family "Bacterial small subunit ribosomal RNA", at positions 28 to 507 of the family's 1533-position model. The record is from RNAcentral.